RNAcentral lists this ribosomal RNA (449 nucleotides) under uncultured bacterium. Its description in RNAcentral is "partial 16S ribosomal RNA". It matches the Rfam family "Bacterial small subunit ribosomal RNA", at positions 29 to 523 of the family's 1533-position model. The record is from RNAcentral.
AACGAACGCUGGCGGCAGGCUUAACACAUGCAAGUCGAACGAGAUCUUCGGAUCUAGUGGCAGACGGGUGAGGAACACGUGGGAACAUCCCUUUCAGUUCGGAAUAACGUUGGGAAACUAACGCUAAUACCGGAUACGUCCUUCGGGAGAAAGAUUUAUCGCUGAAAGAUUGGCCCGCGUCUGAUUAGCUAGUUGGUGAGGUAACGGCUCACCAAGGCUACGAUCAGCAGCUGGUCUGAGAGGAUGAUCAGCCACAUUGGGACUGAGACACGGCCCAAACUCCUACGGGAGGCAGCAGUGGGGAAUAUUGGACAAUGGGCGCAAGCCUGAUCCAGCCAUGCCGCGUGAGUGAUGACGGCCUUCGGGUUGUAAAGCUCUUUUGUCCGGGAAGAUAAUGACUGUACCGGAAGAAUAAGCCCCGGCAAACUUCGUGCCAGCAGCCGCCGCAG